CCUACGGGAGGCAGCAGUAGGGAAUCUUCCACAAUGGACGAAAGUCUGAUGGAGCAACGCCGCGUGAGUGAAGAAGGGUUUCGGCUCGUAAAGCUCUGUUGGUAGUGAAGAAAGAUAGAGGUAGUAACUGGCCUUUAGUUGACGGUAAUAACUGAGAAAGUGCCGGCUAACGACGUGCCAGCAGCCGCGGUAAUACGUAGGUGGCAAGUGUUGUCCGGAUUUAUUGGGCGUAAAGCGAGUGCAGGCGGUUCAAUAAGUCUGAUGUGAAAGCCUUCGGCUCAACCGGAGAAUUGCAUCAGAAACUGUUGAACUGGAGUGCAGAAGAGGAGAGUGGAACUCCAUGUGUAGCGGUGGAAUGCGUAGAUAUAUGGAAGAACACCAGUGGCGAAGGCGGAUUACUGGACGAUAACUGACGGUGAGGCGCGAACGCGUGGGGAGCAAACAGGAUUAGAUACCCGGGUAGUC
This 465-nucleotide ribosomal RNA is filed under the name uncultured bacterium. Its description in RNAcentral is "partial 16S ribosomal RNA". It matches the Rfam family "Bacterial small subunit ribosomal RNA", at positions 338 to 795 of the family's 1533-position model. The record is from RNAcentral.